UACACUCCUACGGGAGGCAGCAGUGGGGAAUAUUGCACAAUGGGCGCAAGCCUGAUGCAGCCAUGCCGCGUGUAUGAAGAAGGCCUUCGGGUUGUAAAGUACUUUCAGCGGGGAGGAAGGCGAUAAGGUUAAUAACCUUGUCGAUUGACGUUACCCGCAGAAGAAGCACCGGCUAACUCCGUGCCAGCAGCCGCGGUAAUACGGAGGGUGCAAGCGUUAAUCGGAAUUACUGGGCGUAAAGCGCACGCAGGCGGUCUGUCAAGUCGGAUGUGAAAUCCCCGGGCUCAACCUGGGAACUGCAUUCGAAACUGGCAGGCUAGAGUCUUGUAGAGAGGGGUAGAAUUCCAGGUGUAGCGGUGAAAUGCGUAGAGAUCUGGAGGAAUACCGGUGGCGAAGGCGGCCCCCUGGACAAAGACUGACGCUCAGGUGCGAAAGCGUGGGGAGCAAACAGGAUUAGAAACCCUGGUAGUCC
RNAcentral lists this ribosomal RNA (472 nucleotides) under uncultured organism. RNAcentral's name for it is "partial 16S ribosomal RNA". It matches the Rfam family "Bacterial small subunit ribosomal RNA", at positions 332 to 796 of the family's 1533-position model. The record is from RNAcentral.